GAUGAACGCUGGCGGCGUGCCUAAUACAUGCAAGUCGAGCGAACAGACGAGGAUCUUGCUUCUCUGACGUUAGCGGCGGACGGGUGAGUAACACGUGGAUAACCUACCUAGAAGACUGGGAUAACGUCGGGAAACCGGAUCUAAUACCGGAUAAUAUAGUGAACCGCAUGGUUCAAUAGUGAAAGACGGAUUUGCUGUCACUUAUAGAUGGAUCCGCGCCGCAUUAGCUAGUUGGUAAGGUAACGGCUUACCAAGGCAACGAUGCGUAGCCGACCUGAGAGGGUGAUCGGCCACACUGGAACUGAGACACGGUCCAGACUCCUACGGGAGGCAGCAGUAGGGAAUCUUCCGCAAUGGGCGAAAGCCUGACGGAGCAACGCCGCGUGAGUGAUGAAGGUCUUCGGAUCGUAAAACUCUGUUAUUAGGGAAGAACAAAUGUGUGAGUAACUAUGCACGUCUUGACGGUACCUACACAGAAAGCCACGGCUAACUACGUG
RNAcentral lists this ribosomal RNA (497 nucleotides) under uncultured bacterium. Its description in RNAcentral is "partial 16S ribosomal RNA". It matches the Rfam family "Bacterial small subunit ribosomal RNA", at positions 28 to 507 of the family's 1533-position model. The record is from RNAcentral.